AGAGUUUGAUCCUGGCUCAGAAUCAACGCUGGCGGCGCGCUUAACACAUGCAAGUCGAACGAGAAAGUGGAGCAAUCCAUGAGUAAAGUGGCGUACGGGUGAGUAACACGUGGAUUAUUUGCCCUUGAGUGGGGAAUAACAAUGGGAAACCGUUGCUAAUACCGCAUAUUCCCGAGAGGGGAAAGCAGCAAUGCGCUCAAGGAGAAGUCCGCGGCCGAUUAGCUAGUUGGUAGGGUAAUGGCCUACCAAGGCUUCGAUCGGUAGCCGGCCUGAGAGGGCACACGGCCACACUGGCACUGAAACACGGGCCAGACUCCUACGGGAGGCAGCAGUGGGGAAUCUUGCACAAUGGGGGCAACCCUGAUGCAGCGACGCCGCGUGAGCGAUGAAGCCCUUCGGGGUGUAAAGCUCUUUCGGUAGGGAAGAUAAUGACGGUACCUACAGAAGCAGCUGCGGCUAACUACGUGCCAGCAGCCGCGGUAAUACGUAGGCAGCAAGCGUUGUUCGGAGUUACUGGGCGUAAAGGGUGUGUAGGCGGCUUUCUAAGUUUGUUGUGAAAUCUCCCGGCUUAACCGGGAGGGUGCGGCGAAGACUGGAAGGCUAGAGUAUGGGAUGGGAGAGUGGAAUUCCUGGUGUAGCGGUGAAAUGCGUAGAUAUCAGGAGGAACACCUG
RNAcentral lists this ribosomal RNA (672 nucleotides) under uncultured bacterium. RNAcentral's name for it is "bacterial SSU rRNA". It matches the Rfam family "Bacterial small subunit ribosomal RNA", at positions 8 to 712 of the family's 1533-position model. The record is from RNAcentral.